This is a non-coding RNA of Paramuricea clavata, 73 nucleotides long. The record is from the annotation of a GenBank genome assembly. Lineage: Eukaryota; Metazoa; Cnidaria; Anthozoa; Malacalcyonacea; Plexauridae.
GACUCUGUAGUUCAGUUGGUUGGAGCGCUGUGCCACAAUCGCAGGGCCGCAGGUUUGACUCCUGCCAGAGGGC